This 143-nucleotide ribosomal RNA is filed under the name uncultured eukaryote. RNAcentral describes it as "partial small subunit ribosomal RNA". It matches the Rfam family "Eukaryotic small subunit ribosomal RNA", at positions 1297 to 1463 of the family's 1831-position model. The record is from RNAcentral.
GUUGGUGGAGUGAUUUGUCUGGUUAAUUCCGAUAACGAACGAGACCAUAUCCUGCUAACUAGAUCCUCAAUAUUGGUUGAGGUUUUCUUCUUAGAGGUACCCUGCGUGUUUAACGCAUGGAAGUUUGUGGCAAUAACAGGUCU